This 468-nucleotide ribosomal RNA is filed under the name uncultured bacterium. RNAcentral describes it as "partial 16S ribosomal RNA". It matches the Rfam family "Bacterial small subunit ribosomal RNA", at positions 28 to 507 of the family's 1533-position model. The record is from RNAcentral.
GACGAACGCUGUCGGCGUGCUUAACACAUGCAAGUCUAACGGCAAUUCUCUGCUUUUGUGGGUUGCUCGAGUGGUGACCGGGUGCGUAACACGUGAGUAACCUGCCCUUGACUUUGGGAUAACUUCAGGAAACUCGGGCUAAUACCGGAUAUCAGCUCCUGCUGCAUGGUGGGGGUUGGACAGUUUCGGCGGUUGGGGAUGGACUCGCGGCUUCUCAGUUUGUUGGUGGGGUAGUGGCUUACCAAGGCUUUGACGGGUAGCCGGCCUGAGAGGGUGACCGGCCACAUUGGGACUGAGAUACGGCCCAGACUCCUACGGGAGGCAGAAGUGGGGAAUAUUGAACAAUGGGCGGAAGACUGAUGCAGCAACGCCGCGUGCGGGAUGAAGGCCUUCGGGUUGUAAACCGCUUUCGCCUGUGACGAAGCGUGAGUGACGGUAAUGGGUAAAGAAGCACCGGAUAACUACGUG